RNAcentral lists this ribosomal RNA (588 nucleotides) under Triticum aestivum (bread wheat). RNAcentral's name for it is "partial small subunit ribosomal RNA". Lineage: Eukaryota; Viridiplantae; Streptophyta; Magnoliopsida; Poales; Poaceae. The record is from RNAcentral.
AUGAGUCGACCUGAUGGGAUCAACAUCCCCGACGACAAGUUCUACCUUGGAGAUGCUGGCUAUGCAUGUUGGCCGGGUAUUCUUCCACCCUUCAGGAAAACCAGGUACCAUCUCAACAAGUUCUCUGGUAGGAACUAUCCUAGGACUGCACACGGGCUAUUUAAUCUCAGACACUCCAGCCUUAGAGUAACUGUUGAGAGGGCAUUUGGAGCUUUGAAGAUAUUUAAGAUCCUGGAUCAGAAGCCAUUCCACCCAUACCCCACUCAGGUUAAGCUUGUUCUUGCUUGUUGCAUUCUGCAUAACUGGAACCUCCAGUGGGGCUUUGAUGAACACGUGCCUGGGGAGGAAGAGGUCGAGCCUGACAAUGUUGUUAGCUCCGGCCAUGGUGUGGAGCCAUUUGACAAUGACGCUUUGAAGAACAAAAGGUGGAGUGGGCAGAGGCAAUGUGGCUUAAUAGAGGUCAGUGUAGGAUUUGAACAAGAUGGAAGAAGAAGAAGAAGCAGCAGCAGCAGAAGCAGAAGUAGAAGCAGAAGAAGAGGAAGAGGAAGAUCUGGUAGCAGCAACACCAAUGAACUAUCCCCUAUUUAG